UGACUACUGUGCGUCGCGACGCUCCUCGGUUUAGUUCCAUCAGGUCGAAGAAAGUUCCCCUCUAUGGAUAAAUAUGUUUUUUCUUCGCCCCCCAGAUCUCGAUAAAUCGCUGAGAGAAAUUCACUAAAAUUGAGGGGGAUUUUUUUUUUUCCUGAAUUAGCCAGAUCGUGAGAGGACUAAGGGAGUAGAAAUUAAAUGCAAUCAGCCGGUUCGUCUGAGUUUCGCGUGGAGGUUUUCCGGAAAAUGGCAGGAAAAUCCGCAAAACGUACGAGACUGUGACUCGGCGUGCUUCGACGGCCGGAAUAUCUGAAAUCGUACACGGAACGGGGCAACUUUGAAGAAGCACUCGGCGAGGCCAAAUCGUCUCGUCAAGGGGAAAACUUCAAACCAACAACGCGAGUGUUCUCCAAAUAAAAGAGGCCCUUGACCCUCAGGAGGGAUGCAAGAUGGCGGCGGUGGGCCCGGAAGUGAUCGUGCGUCGUCCCGUGUACCAGCAGGAAGAAUUCCACCGCAUAUACGAAUAUGUCAGCCUUAAAAAGAACCGUAAUGACGUUUGGCUUUCGAUCCCCUUUUUCACGUCAGUGGGUCUCACGAUAUCGAAGAAGGGCAGGAAGUGCCAGCUGGAUUCGUGCUUCCGGAGAACCGUUCCCUUCGCUGGAUGGAUUCGAGAGUACGACUGGAGAAAUAAAUUUUUCUGCGAUCUCGUAGCUGGUGUCACGGUUGCCGUCAUGCACAUCCCGCAAGGCAUGGCCUACGCUAUCCUGGGAAACGUGCCACCUAUCGUCGGAAUUUACAUGGCCUUCUUUCCGGUUCUGGUUUACAUGUUCCUGGGGACGUCUAGACACAAUUCGAUGGGCACGUUCGCUCUGGUUUGCAUGAUGACUGGGAAAACUGUGCUGACCCAUAGCUCGGGACAUGAAAUUAACUCGACGGUCGUUUCAUCCAUGGAUAAUGUCACUGGACAAGACAUGACACCGAGCCAGCACUUCUCGCCCACGGAAAUCGCGACUGCAGUCACCUUUACCGUGGCUCUAAUGCAGAUGGCGAUGUACGUCCUGCGGCUGGGCGUGAUAUCCUCGCUAUUGAGCGAAACGCUGAUAAGUGGAUUCACAACUGCAGCUGCAGUGCACGUGCUAACGUCCCAAGUUAAAGACCUCCUAGGGCUGAGUCUGAAAAAACGUAUGGGAAUUUUCAAAGUGGUUUUCACUUACGUCGACAUCGUCAACGCUAUCGACAACGUCAACGUGACGGCAGUCGUCGUCUCCGGGAUCACCAUUAUCCUCCUUGUCUUUAACAAUGAAAUCCUCAAGCCGAGGAUCUCAAAAAUGUGUCCUUUCCCUGUGCCGAUCGAGAUGAUCGCCGUGAUCGCCAGCACGUUGUUCUCGGUGUACAUGAACCUGCCGGGAAAUUACAACAUCGUCACCGUGGGUCAUAUACCAGUCGGGCUGCCCGAGCCUAGAGUUCCGCCGAUGUCUCUGAUUUCGGAUGUCCUGCUGGACAGUUUCGUUAUCACUAUGGUGUCCUACACGAUAUCCAUGUCAAUGGCUCUGAUUUUCGCGCAGAAGAUGAACUACGAGGUGGACGCCAACCAGGAACUCCUGGCUCAGGGCGCCGGCAACCUCGUAGGGUCCUUCUUCUCCUGCAUGCCCUUCACGGCUUCUUUGUCCAGAUCGAUGGUGCAACAGACAGUUGGUGGAUACAGCCAGCUGGCCAGCUUCGUUUCUUGCGGGAUUUUGCUGUGUGUGUUGCUUUGGGUGGGCCCUUUCUUCGAGCCUUUGCCCAGGUGCGUCCUCGCCAGUAUUAUCGUCGUGGCGCUGAAAGGGAUGCUCCUGCAGGUCAAGCAGCUCCCGAAAUUUUGGAAACUGUCCCGAGUGGACGCUCUCGUGUGGCUGGUCACUUUCAGCACUGUGAUACUUCUGGACAUCGAAUAUGGACUGCUGAUCGGUGUCCUGACUUCUCUGACCUCGUUAAUCGUAUAUUCGUCACGGCCUUAUGCGUGCAGAUUGGCCCUGGUCCCAGGAACCGAGAUCUACCUCGAGGCCGAAAGAUACAAAGGAACUGUAGACGUACCAGGAGUCAGAAUCCUGCGCUACUGCGGAAGUCUGAAUUUCGCCUCGAAGACGCACUUCCGGAAGGAAGUGUACAAGACCAUGGGCUUUAAUGCGCUGACCGAAUUAGAAAAUCGCCGGAAAACCCAUAUGAAGGAGACAUCCUCGGCGAAGAUACAAGUGGAAGGUUACACGAAUCCUUCGUACGAGGAGGACCGAAGAUCCGAGCGAGAGUCCUCGUCGGGGAAUUACGAGGACGAGGAGAAACGCGAGGUCAAAGAUGCUUCACCUAAUUCUAUUAUGCACGUGCUGGUCCUUGACUUCUCCGCCCUGACGUACAUCGACCCGACAGGUUGUGCAACAGUGCGUUCAUUGGCCGAGGAAUACAAGAAAACGGAGACGGUCAUAUUUCUUGCAGGGUCUUCCGGACCUGUGUUCGAGACGAUGCGAAAGUGCAUGGCAUCGGUUCGGGAAAAAGGACUGCUAGCGACAUUCCCAACCGUCGGGGACGCCGUGAACUUCGCGAGGCACGAGUUCGCCUCGACGCUGACCCCGAUCUGGACGGGCUGUGGACGAUACGAGGAGGGCACGUGCAUGAGCAGAUUCGGUUCCCGGGAACCCGAGGAAGGCCCCCUGGAACGUUCUGGAACGAGUCUCGAAAAUUCUAACUGGGUCCGGACAUUGACGGGACCCAGAGCCAUCGGUUACGGGGCGAUCUGAACGUGCCGAGAGAAAUCCAUCUCGAGACCCUGGAGCUCGGAAAAAACUCAUUCCAGAAUCUCAUUGCCGGCAGUAUUCUUGAGGAGACGAACGCGUCGAGGAGAGUCUCGACGUAGAGCGACAUCCAACGCUUCACCCUCACGGGCAAGGUUUCCUUGGAUUCCCCCCCUUCCCUAGAAAUUAUUCGGCCGGGUAAAACCGGAGUAGUUUAUCGAGUGAAAUGGAAGAAAAAUGCGGAGACAGAGACCCGCGUCUGCCAAUUGCGGAUUACUUAAGACCCAGGAAAGAGAAAGGGCUGCAAGAAAGCGGCGGAGGAUCAAAGAUGGUCGACGGGAUUUCGCAAUUCGCGGACAUCGGCGGGACAGUCUUCGAGCAUUUCGAAAGCGGAGCUAUCUCGUGAUGUAUUUUGCCUUUUUUUUUUUCUUUCUUUCUUCUCGUCUAGCAUUCCUGGCAGGUAGAACCGGUCGCGAGUUAUCGCUAAAUACCUAUCGUUAUGUACUGUGAAUAAUUGCGCGUGUUCGCCUAUGUGUUAAUCCACUUCCAUUAGAAGCGUUCGAUCGAACGCAAAACUUGCUAUCGAUGCUUAGAGAAGUCGUGACAUGUAUU
This 3374-nucleotide unclassified non-coding RNA is filed under the name Orussus abietinus. RNAcentral's name for it is "solute carrier family 26 member 10, transcript variant X2". The record is from RNAcentral. Lineage: Eukaryota; Metazoa; Arthropoda; Insecta; Hymenoptera; Orussidae.